Non-coding RNA from Coffea arabica (coffee), 7424 nucleotides. The record is from RefSeq and is a predicted model, not a curated record. NCBI's taxonomy places the organism in Eukaryota, Viridiplantae, Streptophyta, Magnoliopsida, Gentianales, Rubiaceae.
UUGUCAUCUCAUCUUUGUUUAAUGGAUUUCCUGAUCUUUGUGGUCCAGUUAUAUUUACGGCGUUGACUUGAAGACCAUCUUAGAUCAACUAGCUCAAUCAGGAGACGUAUAGUUAUCCAAGCGUGGCGAUCAUUUAUGACUGGUACCGUCUCUGCCAAUCAUGCCAUGCUACUGAGCUUCAGUAACACCCCUCCAACACCUAUGGCUCCCUUAUUGGAAAUGGAAACUUCACGUGGGUUGUUCUACAUGAUUUGUGAGGGAGAGUUUGAUCUGGGAUCAGCCUGCAUUCAGAGAACGCUCGUAGAUAUCUUCAACCUAUUACUGGUAUUUGUAUUCUUUCUUGUCUUGAUUGUCGGUCUCACAAGGAAGAACAAUAUCAGGCUGCGAAGGGGGGAUUGGAUCGCUACGGCAGUUUCAGUCUGCUGUGCUCUUAUAAGCAUUGCUUACCUCUCUACUUGUUUGUUACACUUGAGCGGAAACAAGGGUGGAUUUAAUCAUUUGAGCUGGUUAGCCUACUUAUUCAGAGGACUAAUUUGGAUUACCUUGUGCCUGUCCUUGCUUGUACAAGGAUCAAGAUGGAUCAAAAUUUUUAUUUCUACAUGGUGGGUGGUUUUCUUUCUGUUGAUAUCAGCUCUAAACACUGAGGUACUCGUGAAAACGCACAACGUUCAAAUCCUUGAAGUUGCAGCUUGGUUUGUAAGUCUCUUGCUGCUUUUUUGUGCCUUUAGGACCUUCCAUCAUACCAUUUCUCAUUCAAAUUUGGAAGAGGGUAACUUCUCGGAAACUCUUUUGGUGAAGGAAGUUCACGACGAGAAUUGUAUUAGUCUGGGCCAGGCUAGUUUCUUUAGUAAACUGUCAUUUUCUUGGAUCAACCCUUUAUUGCGCUUAGGAAAUUCCAAAACUUUAGCUCUUGAAGACAUUCCCUGUCUAGGACUUGAAGAUGAAGCAAAUUUGGCAUACGAGAAAUUUGCUCAGGCAUGGAGCUCGCUUCAAAAGGGGAAGGGCUCCAACAAUGCACAGAAUUUUGCUCUUUGGGCAAUAGCAAAAGUUCAUUGGAAAGAAAUGUUACUUACAGCAACUUAUGCAUUGCUUCGGGUGGUUUCAGUUGUACUUUCUCCAUUAUUGCUCUUUGCUUUUGUCGAAUAUUACAAACUUGAAACCAGAAAUAUCGAUGAAGGUCUUGCCUUAGUUGGGAUGUUAAUUCUUGUGAAAGUUGUGGAGUCCUUGUCCUAUCGGCAUUUCUUUUUCUAUGCAAGGAGGAUUGGUAUGAGGAUGAGGUCGGCUCUGAUGGUGGCAGCUUAUGAAAAGCAACUCAAGCUUUCUAGUUUGGGCAGGCGAAGGCACUCAACUGGAGAAGUUGUAAACUAUAUAGCAGUUGAUGCUUAUAGGAUGGGAGAAUUUCCAAUGUGGCUUCACAUAGGAUGGACUUCUGGGCUUCAACUCUUUUUGGCUAUCGCUGUCCUUUUCGCAGUUGUGGGUCUUGGUGUCCUUCCUGGUUUAGUCCCCCUGCUGAUCUGUGGCCUUCUUAAUGUACCCUUUGCAAAAAUACUUCAGAAAUGUCAAUCCGAAUUUAUGAAUGCUCAAGACAAGCGACUCAGGGCCAUGUCUGAGAUCCUAAAUAGUAUGAAGAUCAUUAAGUUACAGUCAUGGGAAGAGAAAUUCAAGAACUUAAUAGAGUCAUAUAGAGGGAUUGAAUUCAAAUGGCUGGCAGAAUCUCAAUACAAGAAGACAUAUAACACUGUUUUAUAUUGGAUGUGUCCAACAAUUGUUUCCUCGGUCAUUUUCUUUGGGUGUAUCCUGUUCAAAAGUGCCCCAUUAGAUGCAAGCACUAUUUUUACAGUUUUGGCUGCGCUAAGGAGCAUGUCAGAACCAGUUAGGUUCAUACCUGAGGCUCUUUCCGUUUUAAUACAGGUCAAAGUUUCAUUUGAUAGGAUCAAUACUUUUCUCCAGGAAGAUGAAAUCAAGCGUGAAGAUAACAUCAAAUAUCCCCCGGGUGAAUCAGAUCUUGUCAUUCUUAUUCAAGAUGGAAAUUUCAGUUGGGAUCCUGAUUCAACAGCUUUGACAAUUAAAGAUAUAAAUCUGAAAGUAAGAAGGGGGAACAAAGUUGCAAUUUGCGGACCUGUUGGAGCAGGGAAAUCAUCUGUUUUAUAUGCAAUACUUGGGGAAAUACCAAAGAUGUCAGGAAAUGUUAAUACAUAUGGAUCCAUUGCUUAUGUUUCUCAAGCUUCAUGGAUUCAGAGUGGAACAGUCCGAGAUAAUAUACUCUUUGGAAAGCCAAUGAACAAAAUAAAAUAUGACGAGGCUAUACGAGUUUCUGCUUUGGACAAAGACAUUGACAGUUUUGACUACGGUGAUCUUACAGAGAUUGGUCAGCGUGGUAUUAACAUGAGUGGUGGACAGAAGCAGAGAAUUCAACUUGCUCGAGCAGUCUACAAUGAUGCUGAGAUAUAUCUUCUUGAUGACCCUUUUAGUGCGGUAGAUGCACAUACAGCAGCAACUCUUUUUAAUGACUGCGUCAUGUCUGCAUUAGCAAAUAAGACUGUCAUUCUCGUGACUCACCAAAUUGAGUUCCUUUCAGAGGUUGAUCAUAUUCUGGUUAUGGAAGGAGGACAAGUAACUCAAUCAGGAAGUUAUGACGAAUUACUGACAGCAGGGACAGCGUUUGAGCAGCUUGUGGUUGCACAUAAAACAUCAUUGACAUUAUCUGAUCCUUUGACCGGUAAAAAUGAAGUCGAACAUCAAAGAGGAAAAGGGAACGCCCUGGAAGGGACAAAACAGCCUUACUUCGGCAAAGAAGCCAGCGAGGGAGAGAUUUCCAUGAUGCCUGGAGUACAGUUGACAGAAGAAGAAGAGAAGGAAAUCGGAGAUAUUGGAUUUAAACCAUUCUUGGAUUAUGUUUUGGUUUCAAAAGGAUUAUUUCAUGUGAUAAGCGGUCUAUUUUCGCAGACGGGCUUUGUUGUUCUUCAAGCAGCAGCGAGUUAUUGGCUAGCAUUUGCAAUUCAAUCUCCAAAAUUCAGCAGUGUCAUUAUAGUUUGUGUGUACACAAUAAUUUCAACAGUUAGUGCCUUAUUUGUCUACCUGAGAUCUCUGUUUGCAGCUCUUCUCGGAUUAAGAGCUUCUGAAGCCUUCUUCUCUGGUUUCACCAACUCAAUAUUCAGUGCUCCCAUGCUCUUUUUUGACUCUACUCCAGUUGGGAGGAUUUUGACACGAGCCUCCUCAGAUUUUAGUGUGCUAGAUUUUGACAUCCCUUUUGCCUAUGCAUUUGUAAUGGCUGCUGGAAUUGAACUAGUUGCAGCAAUUGGUAUUAUGGCCUCUGUGACAUGGCAGGUUCUUAUUGUCGGAAUCUUUGCAAUAGCAGCCUCCAAAUAUGUUCAGGGAUAUUAUCAAGCCUCCGCACGGGAACUCAUGAGAAUAAAUGGAACCACAAAGGCCCCCAUAAUGAACUAUGCUUCUGAGACGGCCCUUGGGGCUCCAAUAAUUAGAGCAUUUAACAUUACUGAAAGGUUUUUCCAGAACUAUCUCAAGCUUGUUGACACAGAUGCAAAAGUCUUUCUUUUCUCCAAUGCAGCAAUGGAGUGGUUGGUCUUAAGAACAGAAACACUUCAAAAUCUCACCCUAUUUGCUGCUGCUUUUCUCUUAGUGUUGCUUCCAAAGGGAUAUGUAGCUCCAGGGCUUGUGGGACUAUCUCUUUCUUAUGCUUUCGCACUUACUGGCACACAAGUGUUCUUAUCUCGAUGGUACGGUAGCUUAGCUAAUUAUAUCAUUUCAGUAGAGAGGAUCAAACAGUUCAUGCAUAUUCCACCAGAACCUCCGGCGGUCGUGGAAGACAAAAGGCCCCCACCUUCAUGGCCUUCCAAGGGUAGAAUAGAAUUGCUGGAUCUGAAGAUAAGAUACCGUCCAAAUGCUCCAAUUGUGCUCAAAGGGAUAACCUGCACUUUCAGAGAAGGGACCAGAGUAGGAGUUGUUGGAAGGACAGGAAGUGGAAAAACUACACUCAUUAGUGCUCUGUUUCGCCUUGUAGACCCAUACAGUGGGCAAAUUGUUGUAGAUGGGAUCAACAUUUGCUCUAUAGGUCUUAAGGACUUACGUUUGAAGCUCAGCAUAAUCCCUCAAGAACCAACUCUUUUUAGGGGCAGCAUUCGAACCAAUUUGGAUCCCUUAGGCAUCUAUUCUGAGGACGAGAUAUGGAAGGCUCUGGAGAAGUGCCAGUUGAAGGACACCGUCAGCAAACUUCCAAACUUGUUAGAUUCUUCUGUCAGUGAUGAAGGUGAAAAUUGGAGUAUGGGGCAACGGCAGCUCUUCUGUCUCGGGAGGGUUCUUCUAAGAAAGAAUAGAAUUCUAGUCCUCGAUGAAGCUACUGCCUCGAUCGACUCAGCUACUGAUUCAAUCCUGCAGAAAGUGAUCAGAGAAGAAUUCUCCAAUUGCACUGUGAUAACCGUGGCACACAGAGUUCCAACAGUCAUAGAUAGUGACAUGGUCAUGGUUCUUUCUUUUGGGAAGCUUGCGGAGUAUGAUGAGCCCUCAAAGCUGAUGGAAACGAAUUCAUCCUUCUCCAGGCUUGUAGCUGAAUAUUGGGCCAGCUGCAGAAAGAACUCUAGUCAGAAAUUGGAAAUUUGAGUUGGCAGGAUCCUCGCGGAACAGUUCAUCGGUGGUCGAACUUCUUGGAGAAGCUUAUUCAUUUUGACAUGCACGUUCGAAACCUCCUGAGAUUGCAGCCAAUAUGUGUUAUCAAUGCAUCUAGGCAUUCAUGCUCACAUAUAUUGUAGAGCUCUUUACUCUAGAAAAUGACAGUAUGCUCAAAAAAAAAAAAAAUUUUAUUUUCAUGCUCACACUUGGAGCAAUUAUGAUGUCUUAAAAGGUCAAAUUAUAUAUUUUAAAAUUUUAUAAAUCCUUGACAAGUAUUAAACCCAAAUAAAGCCAUGGAAGGAGGCGUGGAAGGAUUUCUUUUUCCUUUUUUCUUUUCUUUUCCAGCUCUAUUCUGUCUCAAAUUGUAUGCAAUUUUUUUUUUUCAAUAGAGGAAGGAUGGAAUUUAAGAAAUCAGAACGGGGAAGGGAGAUUUGAAUCUCGAAUGGCAGAAUCUCUACGUUUUAAGGUCUUAACUCUAAUCGCUAAAUCAAUGUCUCAAAUUAUAUAUAUAAAAAAAUUUGCCAACACAGUGAUUAUUUCAUUUGUGUAUAAGGAUUUAGAACAAUAAGGGUUACUUUGGAACUUUGGAUGUGAUGUUAUUUGUAAAAAAUUUUUUUGCUUGAAUCAUAAACACGUUUUUUAACUAUUUUUUUAUAUUUUAAUUAUCUUUUUAUGUAAUAUAUGUCACAUCGUAAAAAAGAGCCACAUGUUAUUUCAAAUAAUUUUUCUAAAUAAUCUCUUGCCCAACAGACUAUGAGUAAAAAAAAUUUAUAAGGCAUACUGCACAAGGAGUGCACUCAUUGACCACCUCAAAAAGUUUUUGGCAGAUUAUAAUUUAAAGAUUCGAGAUUUUAUAAGUUUUGACUCAUUUGAGUUUAUUGCAUUUGCUUUAAGCAGUACAUUUGCACUUUUGUGCCACAAUAAAUUGAUUUAACGAGGUAUAGCCUUAUUUUUGCAUCCUUAAUUCUCAAAGAAAUUUGAUAUUUAAUACAAAAAAAAAAAUGUUAUACUCCAUCUGACCCACUUUGAUAGUCUCGUUUUUCAUUUUCAUCCGUUCCAAAUUAUAACCUACUUUCCAACGGAAGAAUAUAGUUAAUUUUUAACUUCUCUAGGAUAUCCUUAUUUAAUGUACUUUCUUAUAGUAAAUAUAACCUACCUUAUUCAUUAAUUAUUUUGAUUCAUGCCUUGAAUGAUGCAAUUUUCUAUUAAUAUUGUUGUUGCAAUUAAUGUAAAGGUAUGAAUAUUAGUUAUACUACCAAUAUUAAUGCAAUGGUAUUUUAGAAAAAUAUUAGGUUAUAUUUACUUUUUCAUUAAAGUUAAUUAAUUUUUUUAAAAUAUUGUAAAUACAAAAUUCAAGAUUAUCAAAAUAAGAUGGAAGGAGUAUUUUUGAACAUUAAUUGCGAACUUAAAGUAACACAUUAAAAACAAUAUCUUGGUAGUGUGGGUGAUGGUCGAAGUUGUGUUUAACUUGAUCUGAUUUCAAGGGAACGAAAUUCAAUUUUGAUAGAAAGAAAUAGCGUAAAAGAAAAUUUUCAUAUCCAAUCGUCCGGUAGUGUAUCCCGGGAGAGCUAAUUUGAGAAGAUUCCAUACCCUCAUCCCACAGCUACUGGACAGUCCAUCGGAGAUAACCAGACGACCACUUUAUUAGACAAACAAAUGCCAGGACAAGACAACCAAUCCCCGCCUUCUCCGACCGCCGGCAACGUGGAAGAAAAUGAGGACGAACUCCUUGUCUGGGAGCAGAUAAAAUCCGAGGCGCGCCAAGACGCCGAGUCGGAGCCAGCCUUGGCUAGCUACUUGUACUCUACCGUGCUUUCUCACUCCUCAUUGGCUCGCUCGCUUUCAUUCCAUCUGGGAAACAAGCUUUGCUCCUCCACACUCCUCUCCACUCUCCUCUACGACCUCUUCCUCAAUACCUUCUCCUCCGACCCCUCCAUUCUUUCUGCCGCCGUCGCAGACCUUCGAGCCGCGCGUUACCGGGACCCGGCUUGUAUUUCUUUCUCUCACUGUUUGUUGAAUUACAAGGGAUUUCUUGCUAUCCAGACACAUAGGUUGGCACAUAAACUAUGGCUUGAAGACGGAAAGCCGCUCGCACUAUCAUUGCAAUCUAGGAUAUCUGACGUCUUUGCAGUGGAUAUACACCCUGGGGCUAGAAUUGGGAAGGGGGUGUUGCUGGAUCAUGCAACAGGGGUCGUGAUUGGAGAAACAGCAGUUGUUGGGAAUAAUGUGUCGAUACUGCACCAUGUAACCUUGGGUGGGACCGGCAAAGUCUCUGGUGAUCGCCAUCCAAGGCUUGGUGAUGGUGUCCUGAUUGGUGCUGGAGCUACUAUAUUGGGGAAUGUGAAGAUUGGUGAGGGAGCAAAAAUUGGAGCUGGAUCAGUUGUGCUAAUUGAUGUGCCCCCUUGGACAACAGCAGUUGGAAAUCCAGCAACGUUGGUCGGUGGAAAGGAGAAACCUAAAGUGCAUGAAGAUGUGCCUGGAGAGUCCAUGGAUCAUACUUCAUUCAUUUCUCAGUGGUCUGACUAUAUGAUAUGAAUUUGAGCCAAUGGUCACAAGGUUUGAUAUUGGAUGUUAGUAGAAUUUAAUUGAACUACAUUGGUUGAGUCACAUUGGACUGGGGGAUUUAGAAACUCCAAGACAGUGGCUUAAGGAGGCCCUCUUUCAGGCGUAGUUAGACAGGGUAAAGGGGAGCCUCUUUCAGAUGUAGUUAGACAGUAAGGGGGAGGACUAUUGUUUUGUACAUUUAUAAUGGUGGAAUGAAAGGGUGCUUCUGAGGCUUUUCAGACCUCUUCUUUGAA